Molecule: transfer RNA, 76 nt
Filed under: Alphaproteobacteria bacterium
Lineage: Bacteria; Pseudomonadati; Pseudomonadota; Alphaproteobacteria
Description: tRNA-Ala
Rfam family: tRNA
About the family: Transfer RNA (tRNA) molecules are approximately 80 nucleotides in length. Their secondary structure includes four short double-helical elements and three loops (D, anti-codon, and T loops).
Source: RNAcentral
GGGGUCGUAGCUCAGUUGGGAGAGCGCCUCGUUCGCAAUGAGGAGGUCGUCGGUUCGAUCCCGUCCGACUCCACCA